GGGGAUGACAUGGUUUCGACAGAGCCUUGAAACCCAUCAAACGCGCAUGGAGAGCGUCGUGCCUCUCUUAAAUCAAGACGACAAAACAGUAAACGCAAACGACGCUUCGUUUGAUCACGCUGUAGCGGCGUAAUCCGAUAGUGGGAAACUCCCGCCUGCGACAGCACCACUAUCGUUAUUUGGGUAGGCUGGUUGUGGUGGACCCUAAAGACCACGACGAGAUCAUUGGGAAACCUGCCGUGCAAGUGCCUAUCCAGGCGCACGGCUGGAACAACUGGAUAGGACGUGCGUAAUUCGUUUGAUGGUAGUAAAUGUUCUGGACGCGGGUUCGACUCCCGCCAUCUCCACCA
RNAcentral lists this transfer-messenger RNA (350 nucleotides) under Acidithiobacillus ferridurans. Its description in RNAcentral is "Standard tmRNA". It matches the Rfam family "transfer-messenger RNA". From Rfam's summary of the family: Bacterial tmRNA, also known as 10Sa RNA or SsrA, is named for its dual tRNA and mRNA-like properties. Its role is to liberate the mRNA from a stalled ribosome. To accomplish this part of the tmRNA is used as a reading frame that ends in a translation stop signal. Lineage: Bacteria; Pseudomonadati; Pseudomonadota; Acidithiobacillia; Acidithiobacillales; Acidithiobacillaceae. RNAcentral also lists the same sequence under 1 other name. The record is from RNAcentral.